Molecule: long non-coding RNA, 2657 nt
Organism: Cavia porcellus (domestic guinea pig)
Lineage: Eukaryota; Metazoa; Chordata; Mammalia; Rodentia; Caviidae
Exons: 3
Source: RefSeq, a predicted model, not a curated record
UAGACUAGAAAAAAGCAGUAGCAAUCAUGACGACAGUGACAAUGACAGCUGAACUUCUGAAGAGGAGGGUAUAACAUGCUUAAGUUUGUGCAUGAAGAGCCCUUGGCGAGAGGAGAUCUUCUGUCCUAAGCAAGGGCCCCAACAACUUCCAAGCAAGGAACCUGAAAAGUGAUCUUUCUCCUGUGCCCACUCGGAGCAGGCCUGGCUGCUGCAGAUCUGACGCCCAUUUGCAUGUCUGUGGUCGUGAUAUUUCGGAGUGGCUGACAAUGCCCACUCCAUCCCCCUGGUAUGACAAUCCACCCUUUGUCCAGGGCCUUGUUUGCUUUUGGUGUUGACACAUUGUUCUUGCUUCCCAACAAGCGUGGCUCUCUUUUCCCUCCCUGUCCUUCUCUCAGAAGGACAUGUGGCUGGGCCUGCCAAGGUCCAUUCCCAGGCCCAAGGUCCAUUCCGGCACCCAGGAUGGCAGUGGAGGUGGUGAGAACAAGAAAGCAGUCCUGCCUGCUGUGACCUUCCACUCCGAUGGGCAUCCCAAUCUACCCGGGAGGGGGAGAGCCACAUGCCUGUGGAAAGGGGGGUCCAGCAGGGACCCCAACAGGCGCACUGUUCUUGGUGGGUGGGAGAAGAUGGCUUUGGUGGCCCAGGAUUGGGUUUGGCUGUGUGCUGUGGCACACAGUGGGGAGUCAUAACUCUCUCCUUCCUCAGUACUCUGCUGGACUUUACGGUCUUAGAGGCGUAGCCCCGCAUGGUGAGGAGUGUGGACAGCAUAAGCAGAGAUCUCCAGGGACAACCAGUGUGGCCGAGGCCACCAGUGGAAGGAGAAAUGGAAGCUGUCACAAGGAGCUGCCCAGGGCCUGAGACAGUCUUCCACAGGAACUGGGUGUGGCAGGAGGCUGCGGGGAGCAGGACAGCCCACUUGUAACAGCUGAUCCUCAAAAAUGCGUGACCAUCCACCUGGCCCAAGGACACCAUGCUGUCCUGCACAGCAGCGUCCUUACUCUGCUGGGCCCGAGCCUCUCGGAGAUGGAGGGAAUACAUGCCCACCUGGGAGAAGGUGGGUGAAGGGGCCUCUCUGGAGCCAUCCCUCGAACUCUGGCAAAAGGCCCGGGUUCUCUAACCUGCCUUUCUCCCUCAGCCUCUCCUCUGUCACUCUCCCCCCAUGCACACAGGUUGUCUGUGCCUUGCUUUCCACCAGGAGAUAACAGGUCUGGGCUGGGAGCCAGAGCAAGGUGCCAAGGCUGUGAGUGAGGCCUCCCAGGCUGAUGCAAGAAAAUCCUCCCUGUCUCUCCCACUUCAGCGGGACUCACAUCCUGGAUUCUCAGUUCUCUACAUCCUGGGUUUGGUGCAUUCAGCUUCUUCCUGCUCUUCUGCCCCCAACAGGUUGGGCACACAGCCGUAGGAGACACCCCCAGCCCAGAGCACUCGUGAAAGAUGCCUUUGUGUUGCGUUCACAUGGUGAGGCCUGGGGCCCUUCUUGGUGUGGCAGAGUGGGCCCCACCUGUGACUAUAAGUCUAACCCUAGCCUCAAAGAAUCCUGCAGACUCCCAGGGUGACAGCUACACCCCAGGAGAGACCUAAAGGCCCACAAGUCAUUACAAGCCCAGGUUCCCACAUGCUAGGGAGCUGCCUGUGACCACAGAGGCAAGACCCUAAAUGGGAAGGUGAGCUGGCCUACAGAUGCAGAAACUGCUGACUGUCUGGGGAGGUGUGGGUGUUGGCUCCAGGGCUGAGAGGCUGGCUGGCUGAGGGGAGGCAAAGGAGGGGAGUACUCUCAGAGCUCUUGCAAAGGGCCUGAGAAACCCCUCAAUAUUUCUGGGAUGUGGGGCCAGCCUUCCCCAGAGCUCUGCUGUGAGCAGGCCCAUGGUGAACCACACUAAUGAGCCCAUAACACAGGCCUUUGACUAAACAGCUCCCAGCCCAGCAACUUUAUUGAAAAAUACCAAGGCCAGCGGCUCAUUCCCACCACUCCCAGGUUCCCUGGGCAACAGCCCACGGGUACGAAGUGCCCCAGCUCACUGAGGGGCUGCCAGGCAGGGAGGGAGUUGGGAAUGCCAGAUGCCAGGGGACCAUCUACAAGGUUUCGAAGCUUCCUUCCAGAUGACUGAGGGGCCACAUGACAUCUGCUGAGUCCUCUAGGGCCUGCAGUUCUGGGACCGCUGGUCACCCCACCACUCCAGCCAGGGAGACAUUCCCAGGGUUUGGACGACGUGAAGGACACGUUCAGAGUUGAGGGUGGGACACAAAACUGGAUGGACUUUCUUCUUGGGUUCAAGGAGACUCUAGUCCCUGUUUCCCCUCAAAAUGGAGGUGGACCUUGGACAGUGCACGGGGCCUACAAGAGACUCAUGCUGAGAGGUGGCAGCAAGGUCACCUCUUGUAGUGACAGCCUGCGAACUCUCAGAGGUCUCAGGAGUCGGGGUCUCCUGCACAGCCCACAUCCCUCUCCCCUAGCUCUGCUGGGGGAGAGGUCCAUGCCCUCAGGUUCGUGGCAGAGGGCCAGUAGACUGGGAUAUAACUGGGGUCAGGAGUAGGGGGAUUUCCACUUGUGCUGGGUUGAUUUCAAAUGUUACAUUUCAGAGCUUUUGCUACAGUAACUAGCAACACCACUGUGGACAGAAAUCUAAUGUUACCAAGUGGGACUUUUAAAAUGUAUUUAUAAC